Long non-coding RNA from Symphalangus syndactylus (siamang), 885 nucleotides. RefSeq lists it as uncharacterized. The record is from RefSeq and is a predicted model, not a curated record. Lineage: Eukaryota; Metazoa; Chordata; Mammalia; Primates; Hylobatidae.
CUUCAUCUCAAAAAAACAAAAAAGUAUUACAUGUCUACCAAUAUCAUUUAAUAUAAUUUAUAUGUAUAUUUACUAUAUUUUUAAACCUAAAUCUUUUUCUUUCUAUCAAUUUUUUCCAGUUUCUUCCUCUAUGACUUUGUUUGAGCAAGCAGAUGGAAGAUUAAUUCUUAUACAAGAAGCUGAGCUAAGUGAGUAGCUGAAGAUGAACGGAAGCCCAGAGGUUUUGCAGGUCACCAGAAAAGCCCUAAUCGAAGGAGGUACUAUACAAAUUUAGAAGAAAUAGUGCAUGAUUGUUCACGAAAGGUUCCUGGAUUUGCAGUGUUUGGCAGAGGAGGAGACAUGGACAAAUACUGAAACUCCUGCUAAAGGUAAACAUGAAAAGGACACUCCUUCAAAGGGCAGGCGCUGUGCUGGGCUCUGGGACUCGCGGGUGAACUGCACAGAGACAGGAGUGCUGCAUCUGGAUGGCAUGGCAGAGGGAUGCCCCAACUGCUACCGCUCCAGUUAUAGUUCCACGGUGAUGGGGAGAAGAAAGAGGCUCUUCCAGGAAACAGCCUUGGGGACAAGGAGACCACACUCCUGGGUGAUUCGAAGAUCAGACAAGGCUCCUGUAAAAUGAACGAAUGAAGUGAAUGAAUGAGACAGAAAGACGUUCCCAUCUGUCAUGGCAGCUCAUCACCUUCAGCAGCCUCUGAAAGGACCCCACAAGCCCUCACCUUGUACUGAGGGUUGCCCCACACAUGUCUGCACGGGCUAUUUGAGGGUCUCUGCACCCAGACCUCUCCCUGGAUGGAGUUUGGCAGGUGGUCAGUUUUGCUGUGUGAAUUGUAAGUAAAGAGUCUUUUAGCAACCACCUCCCCACUCUCUGCAGCCUCAACUUCACGG